UAUAGUACUAUAAAACUGCAUAGUUUAAUAGUUAAAAUUUCGGUGGUAUAAGAUGGGCAUGCGUAGGAUUAGGUAGUUGGUGAGGUAACAGCUCACCAAGCCGACGAUCCUUAGGGGUUCUGAGAGGAUUAUCCCCCACACUGGUACUGAGACACGGACCAGACUCCUACGGGAGGCAGCAGUAGGAAUAUUGGUCAAUGGACGAGAGUCUGAACCAGCCAUCCCGCGUGCAGGAUGACGGCCCUAUGGGUUGUAAACUGCUUUUCUACGCCAAGAAACCCACCUACGUGUAGGUGGUUGACGGUAGCGUAGGAAUAAGCAUCGGCUAACUCCGUGCCAGCAGCCGCGGUAAUACGGAGGAUGCAAGCGUUAUCCGGAUUCAUUGGGUUUAAAGGGUGCGCAGGCGGGCUUGUAAGUCAGUGGUGAAAUACUGCCGCUUAACGGUAGAACUGCCAUUGAUACUGCAAGUCUUGAAUAUGGUUGAGGUAGGCGGAAUGUGUCGUGUAGCGGUGAAAUGCAUAGAUAUGACACAGAACGCCAAUUGCGAAGGCAGCUUACUAAGCCAUUAUUGACGCUGAGGCACGAAAGCGUGGGGAGCGAACAGGAUUAGAUACCCUGGUAGUCCACGCCGUAAACGAUGUUCACUCGCUGUCUGCGAUACACAGUAGGCGGCUGAGCGAAAGCAUUAAGUGAACCACCUGGGGAGUACGAUCGCAAGGUUGAAACUCAAAGGAAUUGACGGGGGCCCGCACAAGCGGAGGAACAUGUGGUUUAAUUCGAUGAUACGCGAGGAACCUUACCUGGGCUUAAAUGUAGAUUGCAUAGAGUAGAAAUAUUCUUUCCCUUCGGGGCUAUUUACAAGGUGCUGCAUGGUUGUCGUCAGCUCGUGCCGUGAGGUGUCGGGUUAAGUCCCAUAACGAGCGCAACCCCUAUCGUUAGUUGCCAGCGGAUAAUGCCGGGGACUCUAGCGAGACUGCCACCGUAAGGUGAGAGGAAGGUGGGGAUGACGUCAAAUCAGCACGGCCCUUAUGUCCAGGGCUACACACGUGUUACAAUGGCAGGUACAAAGGGCAGCUACACAGCGAUGUGAUGCUAAUCUCUAAAGCCUGUCCCAGUUCGGAUUGGAGUCUGCAACCCGACUCCAUGAAGUUGGAUUCGCUAGUAAUCGGAUAUCAGCAAUGAUCCGGUGAAUACGUUCCCGGGCCUUGUAC
Molecule: ribosomal RNA, 1211 nt
Filed under: metagenome
Description: bacterial SSU rRNA
Rfam family: Bacterial small subunit ribosomal RNA
Source: RNAcentral